RNAcentral lists this ribosomal RNA (627 nucleotides) under Clostridioides difficile. Its description in RNAcentral is "bacterial LSU rRNA". It matches the Rfam family "Bacterial large subunit ribosomal RNA", at positions 2044 to 2669 of the family's 2925-position model. Lineage: Bacteria; Bacillati; Bacillota; Clostridia; Peptostreptococcales; Peptostreptococcaceae. The record is from RNAcentral.
GUAAUUCCGGUGAAGAUGCCGGAUACCUGCGACAGGACGGAAAGACCCCAUGGAGCUUUACUGUAGCUUGACAUUGGGUCUUGGUACUACAUGUACAGGAUAGGUGGGAGGCUUUGAAACCAGGACGCCAGUUUUGGCGGAGCCAUCCUUGGGAUACCACCCUUGUAGUACUGGGACUCUAACCAUAGGCCAUGAAUCUGGUCUUGGGACACUGUCAGGUGGGCAGGUUGACUGGGGCGGUCGCCUCCCAAAAGGGAACGGAGGCGCUCAAAGGUUCUCUCAGUACGGUCGGAAAUCGUACGUAGAGUGUAAAGGCAAAAGAGAGCUUGAUUGCAAGACAUACAGGUCGAGCAAGGAUGAAAAUCGGACUUAGUGAUCCGGUGGUUCUGCGUGGAAGGGCCAUCGCUCAACGGAUAAAAGCUACCCUGGGGAUAACAGGCUUAUCUCCCCCAAGAGUCCACAUCGACGGGGAGGUUUGGCACCUCGAUGUCGGCUCAUCACAUCCUGGGGCUGUAGUAGGUCCCAAGGGUUGGGCUGUUCGCCCAUUAAAGUGGUACGCGAGCUGGGUUCAGAACGUCGUGAGACAGUUCGGUCCCUAUCCGUCGCAGGCGUAGGAAAUUUGAGAAG